GUGAAAGGGACCUAUACCCCCGUCAGCUGCAGGAAAGGAACAAAGAGACAGGUGAUUAAUGCCCGGUGAGAGGGUGAAAGGGACCUAUACCCCCGUCAGCUGCAGGAAAGGAACAAAGAGACAGGUGAUUGAUGCCCGGUGAGAGGGUGAAAGGGACCUAUACCCCCGUCAGCUGCAGGAAAGGAACAAAGAGACAGGUGAUUAAUGCCCGUUGAGAGGGUGAAAGGGACCUAUACCCCCGUCAGCUGCAGGAAAGGAACAAAGAGACAGGUGAUUGAUGCCCGGUGAGAGGGUGAAAGGGAC
Hyla sarda is the source of this 303-nucleotide long non-coding RNA. RefSeq lists it as uncharacterized. The record is from RefSeq and is a predicted model, not a curated record. NCBI's taxonomy places the organism in Eukaryota, Metazoa, Chordata, Amphibia, Anura, Hylidae. The transcript is spliced from 5 exons.